This 548-nucleotide ribosomal RNA is filed under the name uncultured bacterium. Its description in RNAcentral is "bacterial SSU rRNA". It matches the Rfam family "Bacterial small subunit ribosomal RNA", at positions 355 to 895 of the family's 1533-position model. The record is from RNAcentral.
UAGGGAAUCUUCGGCAAUGGACGGAAGUCUGACCGAGCAACGCCGCGUGAGUGAAGAAGGUUUUCGGAUCGUAAAGCUCUGUUGUAAGAGAAGAACGAGUGUGAGAGUGGAAAGUUCACACUGUGACGGUAUCUUACCAGAAAGGGACGGCUAACUACGUGCCAGCAGCCGCGGUAAUACGUAGGUCCCGAGCGUUGUCCGGAUUUAUUGGGCGUAAAGCGAGCGCAGGCGGUUAGAUAAGUCUGAAGUUAAAGGCUGUGGCUUAACCAUAGUACGCUUUGGAAACUGUUUAACUUGAGUGCAGAAGGGGAGAGUGGAAUUCCAUGUGUAGCGGUGAAAUGCGUAGAUAUAUGGAGGAACACCGGUGGCGAAAGCGGCUCUCUGGUCUGUAACUGACGCUGAGGCUCGAAAGCGUGGGGAGCAAACAGGAUUAGAUACCCUGGUAGUCCACGCCGUAACGAUGAGUGCUAGGUGUUGGGUCCUUUCCGGGAUUCAGUGCCGCAGCUAACGCAUUAAGCACUCCGCCUGGGGAGUACGACCGCAAGGUU